RNAcentral lists this long non-coding RNA (336 nucleotides) under Actinidia chinensis (golden kiwifruit). Its description in RNAcentral is "long non-coding RNA (ACHI_LNC005645)". The record is from RNAcentral. Lineage: Eukaryota; Viridiplantae; Streptophyta; Magnoliopsida; Ericales; Actinidiaceae.
UGCCUAAGCUUGAGAUUAAUUUUUUAUCUCCUCUUGUUCGAUAGUCUUAAACGAUACAACACAACAGCAAGAAUCAGUGAUGAGGAAGAACGGAAAUGUUACAGGGAGAAACAUCAAUUUGAGCUUUAAAAUGUGGGUGGAAUCCUUCUUCGGUCAUCCCUGUGUACCAGUAAGAGAGCUGAGAUCAUCACAAAAGCUAAUAUGAAGUCGAACCCUCGACAAAGAAGGCUGUUUCUUAAUUGCGGAGCCCGUACUUUAUUUCCUCUUUCCUGUUGCAAUAGUUAGCAGCUCGAAGCUCCGAAUACGAUCUUCACAACCGGCUCUUGUGGCUGUAGC